Molecule: ribosomal RNA, 460 nt
Filed under: uncultured bacterium
Lineage: Bacteria
Description: partial 16S ribosomal RNA
Rfam family: Bacterial small subunit ribosomal RNA
Source: RNAcentral
CCUACGGGUGGCAGCAGUGAGGAAUAUUGGUCAAUGGACGAGAGUCUGAACCAGCCAAGUAGCGUGAAGGAUGACUGCCCUCUGGGUUGUAAACUUCUUUUAUAUGGGAAUAAAAUGUUCCAAGUGUGUGAUUUUGUAUGUACCAUAUGAAUAAGGAUCGGCUAACUCCGUGCCAGCAGCCGAGGUAAUACGGAGGAUCCUAGCGUUAUCCGGAUUUAAUGGGGUUAAAGGGAGCGUAGGUGGAUUGUUAAGUCAGUUGGGAAAGUUUCCGGCUCAACCGUAAAAUUGCAGUGGAAACUGGUAGUGUUGAGUACAGGAGAGGUGAGCGGAAUUCGUGGUGUAGCGGUGAAAUGCUUAGAUAUCACGAAGAACACCGAUGGCGAAGGCAGUUCACUGGACGGCAACUGACGCUGAGGCUCGAAAGCGUGGGUAGCAAACAGGAUUAGAUACCCUUGUAGUC